This 157-nucleotide small RNA is filed under the name Enterobacterales bacterium 8AC. RNAcentral describes it as "SraG". It matches the Rfam family "SraG RNA". From Rfam's summary of the family: This RNA was discovered in E. coli during a large scale screen. The record is from RNAcentral. Lineage: Bacteria; Pseudomonadati; Pseudomonadota; Gammaproteobacteria; Enterobacterales.
CUUCACAUUACAUCCUCGCGACUAAUGACAACCCUUAUCUGCCUGAGAUAAAGCCUCUCAUUAGCCGCGCGAACCUCUGUAACGGAAGGUCCUCAUAUUACAUUAACCUGAUUUACUUAUGCUUCCUAGAAGAAAGGGGCCACAUUUGGCCCCUUUC